AUAAUGAUACUUCCGUCCAGUCACAGCCCUGCACGCGGGUGCGGGAACACGCAAUGAGGGCGGCUCGGAGAGACCCUCGGAGGGGAACAAUCCCAUGA
Molecule: non-coding RNA, 98 nt
Filed under: unclassified sequences
Description: pemK RNA
Rfam family: pemK RNA
Source: RNAcentral